AUGGUGCGCGCCAUGGGCGGCGCCAGCGAGGCGGCGGACAGCAAGCUACAGAGCCCGCUGCUGACACCCCUGCAGCCGACGGCCGGCGGGCAUGGAGCGGGCAAGCAGCUUGAGAGCAUCCUGAACGACGAGUCGGUGCCGUGGGUGCAUCGGAUCUGCGCGGCGACGAUGGUGGAGAUGCGGAUGCUGGUUCCCCUGGCGGCGCCCGCCGUGCUGGUGUACAUGAUCAACUACCUCAUGUCCAUGUCGACGCGGAUCUUCUCCGACCAUCUCGGCACGCGAGCUCGCCGCCGUUUCCCUCGGCAACACCGGCAUCCAGUUCUUCGCCUACGGCCUCAUGGAAGCUACCUGCACGAUCACAAAGUACUGUUUUGUUUCCCCAACAAAAAUGUUCUUCCCGUUCUUGGCAUGGGGAGCGCGGUGGAGAUGCUGUGCGGGCAGGCGUACGGCGCAAACAAGUUGGACAUGCUGGGCAUCUACAUGCAACGCUCCACCGUGCUGCUCAUGGCCACCGGCGUCCCUAUCACCGUCCUCUACGUGUUCUCCCGCCCCAUCCUCAUCCUCCUCGGCGAGUCCCCUGAGAUCGCACGCGCCGCGGCCAUCUACGUGCACGGCCUCAUCCCGCAGAUCUUCGCCUACGCCGCCAACUUCCCGAUCCAGAAAUUCUUGCAGGCGCAGAGCAUUAUAGCGCCGAGCGCCUACAUCUCGGCAGCCACGCUCGUCGUCCACCUCGUCCUCAGCUACCUCGUCGUCUACCAGUUUGGGCUGGGGCUUCUGGGCGCCUCGUUCAUGCUCAGCACCAGCUGGUGGAUCAUCGCAUUCUCCGAUCUGCCUGAAUUUUUGAAGCUGUCCCUUGCCUCUGCUGUCAUGCUCUACCUGGAGACUUGGUACUUCCAGAUACUGGUGCUCAUUGCUGGCCUCCUCAAGGACCCCGAAAUGGUUCUCGCAUCGCUCGCUGUUUGCAUGACCAUUUCUGAAUGGGUGCUCAUGAUUCCACUUGGAUUCUACGCAGCAACCAGUGUGAGGGUGAGCAAUGAGCUUGGUGCGGGCAACCCCAAGUCAGCGGCAUUCUCAGUUGUGGUGGUGACAAUGUUGUCGUUCGUCCUAUCAGUUAUAAUCUCGGUAGUCAUCCUGCUCUGUAGUGAUUACAUCAGCUACAUUUACACCGACGGCGAAAAUGUGGCAGUAGCCGUGUCCAAGAUGACCCCACUCCUGGCACUCACCAUAAUCCUCAAUGGCAUCCAACCAGUACUAUCAGGGGUAGCCGUGGGCUGUGGUUGGCAAGCGUUUGUCGCCUAUGUCAACAUCGGCUACUACUAUGCCGUGGGCAUCCCCCUUGGCUUCCUCCUUGGCUUCUACUUCGACCUCGGUGCAGUGGGCAUAUGGAGUGGUAUGAUUGGAGGUACAUUGAUGCCGACUGUGAUCCUAGUGUGGGUUACCUUGAGGACAGACUGGAACAAAGAGGUAGCUGAUGCUAUGAAAAGAUUGCAGAGGUGGGAAGGCAAUACACCUCUAUUGGCAGGACAAGAAUGA
Molecule: ribosomal RNA, 1533 nt
Filed under: Triticum aestivum (bread wheat)
Lineage: Eukaryota; Viridiplantae; Streptophyta; Magnoliopsida; Poales; Poaceae
Description: partial small subunit ribosomal RNA
Source: RNAcentral